AGGGCUCAUGGAACCGAUGUAGGGCUUCCAACGGACGAUGAAUUGGGAAACAGUGAAGUUGGUCACAAUGCGCUUGGUGCUGGACGCAUUUUCGCUCAAGGGGCCAAGCUUGUUGAUCUUGCUCUUGCCUCUGGUAAAAUUUACGAGGGAGAAGGAUUUAAGUAUACAAGUGAAUCUUUU
This is a long non-coding RNA of Hibiscus syriacus, 180 nucleotides long. RefSeq lists it as uncharacterized. The record is from RefSeq and is a predicted model, not a curated record. The transcript is spliced from 2 exons. Lineage: Eukaryota; Viridiplantae; Streptophyta; Magnoliopsida; Malvales; Malvaceae.